CCCAACAGCUUUUGUGCCAUGGGGUGAUACCGAAGUGGCUGAGAACCCAAAAGCUCAAGCUGAGCUGUUGAGUGGGGUCUGCUGACACGGUGGUGGCUGUUGAUACCCAGCACUGCUGCUCUUGUGGCAUCCUGUGGGAAAAUGUGGGAUCUGUCCCCUCCCCAGACCCAGGGUGCUGCUCACCCUCCUGGAGCCAGUCAGGAGGUGACAGCCCCAUCCUCCCCUCUCCUCUCACCCAGGCUGUCAGAUCCAAGUCAGGGGUCACAGUCCUCUGCCUCUGAUAUCACCAGCUCUCACUGCAGAAAGGAUAAUGAAUGGGCUGUUAGAGAAGACUGAAAAAAGAGAUAAAAUGAAGGAGAAAAGAGCUUCUGGUUGGAGCCACACAGGACAGACACUGACAAUCAAAACUCAUGGCUGCACACAGAUGUGGUCCCCACCUCUCUCUUGCUCCCUGUAUGGAUUUUGCUGCCUAUCUCACCACUUCUGAACAAUAUUAUUUAAAAAAAAAACCCAUGACCUGAGUAGCAACCACUCUCCUGCCUACCCAACAGUGCCCUAUAAACACAGGCCUUAUAAACACGGCCUGCAAAAUGUUCAGUGGAGUUUCUGCACUUGCAACAGGAGCCCAGGGCAGGGAUGAAGUCACCUUGAACUGAAUUCCCCCCAAAACCCCUGCUGGGGUUUCAAACCUCUGAUUUGGGCUUUGUCAGAUACAAACCAGAGCAGAAAGAUGUCUUAGACAAAAGGAGCAGGACUUGCUGUGUGGGACAAAGGAAGGAAAGCAGGCUGGGGGUGGCUGUAGUUAACACUUCUGCUCCUGAAGGCCUUUCAGACCCUGCAGCCAGGUGUGCUCAGAGACACCCACAUGCCCUAUUUCAAGGUCAACAUCAACUACAAAACUCCUGGUGUCCAGAUUUAGACUGGAAUCCAAAACACAUGAGGGACAAGUUAAUUCUGCCUGUGAUAAAAGGGAGGGGGGAGGCUGGCCAGCAGAUUUUGCUGUCGUUCCAGUAGCAAGUGGAAAGUCAAGGACUAUCCCCAAAGGAGGCCUAAUCAGGCCACAGAAUCACAAUUCGGGUUUCCACUUGGCAGGAAAUAUGUGUUAAAGCUAAAUGGAUUUCCUUUGGUAAAGCAGAAGCUUAACUGAGACAACACAGUGUUUUAACACACUUUUAAAGUAAUAAAAAUUGUUGUUGAGGCUCUGCA
RNAcentral lists this long non-coding RNA (1206 nucleotides) under Parus major (Great Tit). RNAcentral describes it as "lncRNA (ENSPMJG00000004764.1)". Lineage: Eukaryota; Metazoa; Chordata; Aves; Passeriformes; Paridae. The record is from RNAcentral.